RNAcentral lists this ribosomal RNA (460 nucleotides) under uncultured bacterium. RNAcentral's name for it is "partial 16S ribosomal RNA". It matches the Rfam family "Bacterial small subunit ribosomal RNA", at positions 338 to 795 of the family's 1533-position model. The record is from RNAcentral.
CCUACGGGGGGCAGCAGUGAGGAAUAUUGGUCAAUGGACGAGAGUCUGAACCAGCCAAGUAGCGUGAAGGAUGACUGCCCUAUGGGUUGUAAACUUCUUUUAUAUGGGAAUAAAAUGUUCCACGUGUGGGAUUUUGUAUGUACUAUAUGAAUAAGGAUCGGCUAACUCCGUGCCAGCAGCCGCGGUAAUACGGAGGAUCCGAGCGUUAUCCGGAUUUAUUGGGUUUAAAGGGAGCGUAGGUGGAUUGUUAAGUCAGUUGUGAAAGUUUGCGGCUCAACCGUAAAAUUGCAGUUGAAACUGGCAGUCUUGAGUACAGUAGAGGUGGGCGGAAUUCGUGGUGUAGCGGUGAAAUGCUUAGAUAUCACGAAGAACUCCGAUUGCGAAGGCAGUUCACUGGACUGCAACUGACACUGAGGCUCGAAAGUGUGGGUAUCAAACAGGAUUAGAUACCCUUGUAGUC